GAUUUUGUAUAGUGCAACUUUAAUGAAUUCAUUGAUUAGUUCUAACAGGUUUUUUUUUUAAGGUUUUCUACAUAUUAGAUAACAUUAUCUGCAAAUAGACAUAAUUUUACUUCUUUCUUUCCAAUUUGGAUGAUUUUUAUUUCUUUUUCUUGCUCUUUUUGCUUAUUUUUAAUUGCUGUUUUAAUUUCUUUUUCAUUUCAGUACCGUGGUGAAUAGAAACAGCAAGAAUGGGCAUCCUUGCCUUGUUCCAGAUCUUAGAGGAAAAGAUUUCAGUAUUUCACCAUUGAUUCUGAUGUUAACUAUGGAUUUUUCACAUAUGACAUUUAUUGUGUUGAGGAUCUAUGUCAUUCUCAAGAAGUUGACUCCAUGCCUCAGCUUCAAAGAUGGGAUUCUAUACUUGGGUUAAGAGCAGUGACAUCACAUGUGCUUGGGAAGAUUCAGAGUAGAACAUCUCCUGUGAUAUGCCUCACCCCAUCUUUCUACCCUCAAGUCACAAAUGAAGACAAUCUGACAUGCUGAUGUCUUUUGUGUGCCAGGCACUCUGCUAGACAGCGUCUCUGUUCUCUCGGAGCUCACGGUCUCGGAGGAAGAUGAAAUCACACUGAUGAGUGUAUAAUUACAAGCCAAGGUUUGCUGAUGCUCCCUUCUCUACAGCUGACACAGACCAAACACGGAAUAUGAGCCCUUCUUCCUUGAUUCCCACAAAACUCCCUACACAAGGCAAGUGUGUGCGAUCACUUUGACCAAAGAUCCUGGGGCAAUGGUUGGGGGCAGGGCUUACGUUACAGAGCAUCAAAAGAAUACAUGAAAAUGGAAUAUUUUUCUUUUUAAAAUUAAUUUUUAUUGGAGUGUAGUUGCUUUACAAUGUUUUGUUAGUUUCUUGCUGUACAGCAAAGUGAAUCAGUCAUAUAUAUACAUAUAUCCACUAUUUUUUGGAUUUCCUUCCCAUUUAGGUCACACAGAGCAUUGAGUAGAGUUCCCUGUGCUCUACAGCAAGUUCUCAUUGGUUAUCUAUUAUAUACACAGUAGUGUAUAUAUGUCAGUCCCAAUCUCCCAAUUCAUUCCACCUCCUUCCCCUCUUGGUAACCAUAAGUUUGUUCUCUACAUCUGUGACUCUGUUUCUGCCUUGCAAAUAAGUUAAUCUCUGUCAUUUUUCUAGAUUCCACAUAUAAGCGAUAUUAUACAAUAUUUGUUUUUCUCUUUCUGACUUACUUCCCUCUGUAUGACAAUCUCUAGGUCCAUCCACGUCUCUGCAAAUGGCACUAUUUCGUUCCUUUUUUAAUGCCUGAGUAAUAUUCCAUUUAUAUAUGUACCACAUCUUCUUUAUCCAUUCCUCUGUCGAUGGACAUUUAGGUCGCUUCUGUGUCUUGGCUAUUGUAAAUAGUGCUGCAGUGAACAUCAGGGUGCAUGCAUCCUUUCAAAUUAAGGUUUUCUCUGGAUAUAUGCCAAGGAGUGGGAUUGCUGGGUGAUAUGGUAGCUCUAUUUUAAGUUUUGUAAGGAACCUCCAUACUGUUCUCCAUAGUGGCUGUACCAAUUUACAUUCCCACCAACAGUACAAGAGGGUUCCCUUUUCUCCACACCCUCUCCAGCAUUUAUUGUUUGUAGAUUUUUUGAUGAUGGCCAUUCUGACCAGUGUGAGGUGAUACCUCAUUGUAGUUUUGAUUUGCAUUUCUCUAAUAAUUAGUGAUGUUGAACAUCUUUUCAUGUGUUUGUUGGCCAACUGUAUGUCUUCUUUGAAGAAAUGUCUAUUUAGGUCUUCCACCCAAAAAAUGGAAUAUUUUUCAAUCAAACUUAUAAACACCAUUUUCCUUUAUGGUUUUAAAAUGAGUAAUGCACUUUAACAUCCUAUUCUUGAAGUCAUAUUUUCAAUAAAGUAAGACAACUGAAAGGUGGCCAUUGCUAUUUCUAGAAGUUCCCUGGCCAGUCCUACUACCAGGAGGACCAGCCUAAGGUUGUUUGUUGCUUUUCUUUUCUCCUCAAGGCCCAGCCUCCCAUCACGCACUCAGCUGAUUCCCUUUCCUCCUCCACCCCCUCCCUCUCUCUGUCCACACAAACUCUGAAUUCAACUCAAUUUCUCAUGCAAAGCCACUCAUUCUCUCUAUAUUCUGUCCCCUGCCUUCAAACCCUGUGUCUAUCUGAGUGGUAGGAGGGAGAGCUACACUCAAUAGAGCCACAGAUCUAUUAAUUCAUUUGGUUAAGCAAAAAAUCAUUUGCCCCCGAGAGCAAUCACGUUAGCAGAGGGCAAAAGCAUAGAUGCAGUGUUUGUUUAAAUAGCAAUUAGAAAAAUUGUUGCUACCCUGAACCGUGGCUUCACCAAAGAACCCUAUUUUUUUUUUUUUAAGAACCCUAUUUAAAAUGUAGCAAACACUCAGUAGCAAUUUGUAUGGGAACUUUGUCUAUUUGGCCUGCUGCAGAAAGGCAGUCCUCUUUAAAAUGAGCUCUAGGAAUGCUACUGUCAUCAUAUCUUCCUGGGUCACUAGCAGGUGACAGGACAAUUGAGACAAUGUAAAGAAGACUACCCCUACCCCCUUUUCCCAGCCCAGUGAUCUGCCCAACCAUCAUUGGUAUUCUUGACUCAGCCCUCCCACAACAGCUCUAUUCAGUCUCCUCAAUUCUGUUCAGACUUUUUGACCUGGAUCUCAAAUCCUUUUGGGGGCCUUAUUUUGUACUUCCUAUGCCAGGGCCCUGGACCUGUUCUGAAUCCACCCUGAUCCUGGAAAAUCUGCUUUCUGUGCAUUGUCCCCACUCCAUCUAAUCUGUCUGGCUCCAUAUGAGCAGGAUUCAGUGACCUCUGCCUUCAUAUCAUUUCUGCCAGUCCCAAUUUCCAAAGGUCACAUGAAAACCUUGAGGAACAUCAUCCUUUCCCUGUCAUUUCUUCCUCCAGUAUCCCAGCUCCCACUGGGAGUUGACGUUUCUUCCCAGAGGCUUAUUCCAAUCCUCCACCUUUGAGUGGAGUGCACUCUCUGCCUUGCUUCUGGAACUUUGAACCAUCAGAAAGAACCAUGGAAAUAUUACUGGUCUAAGACCAGCCAAAUGCCUCUUUGUUCUGAACAAGAGGAUGUUGGAGUCGUUUGCUUGCAUUAAAAUGGAAAUUUCAGGACAAUAAGAAAUAGAAACUUGCUCAAGGUCUCACUCUCCAAUCCCCUAUUAAAUGAAGUACCAGGGGAUAUUUAAAUAGCACCUGCACUCCUGGAUAAAGGAGGGCUUCUUCAGCUGCAGACCUGCAGGGAGCCCCAAGCAGUGGGUGAUGGCCCUCGAAGCAACCAAAACGCUGUGAGCAACCAGCAUGACCCUUUCCAGGGCAGGGCAGCCAUCUCUACCCUCUUGCUAUUGCAUCCAGGCCCAAAGGUAUGAUCAUAACUUAUCUUACCAGAUUUGGGACAAUAUGGGGUAAAUGUCAUCCUAAUUUUGGUAGAAACAUAAAAGCAAGUAAGCAUGAUUUCUAAACAGAUGGAAUUUUAGUCUAGGGUUUGCAAAAGUUAUAUUCGCCUUCAUUGUAAUUGUAAUUGCCUAUAGAGUGGCAGGUAGAACUCCUUGUUCCUUUCCUAAAAAUCUGCACCUAAUAGCCUCAGCCUGUUAAUCCUGUUUCUCAUAAUUGGGAAACACUGUCUGAUGGACUCAGGGGUCUCCUGUAACAACCACAUGCCAGCGAGUGGUACUGUUCUGAGAAGAACAUCUGCCUUCCUUGAGGACCACACACCCUGGUCCUCUUACAGGUGGACACACAUACUCUGCCUCAGGGACUAGUCUGGGGUUGGCAACAUCUUCAUCCUGGGCAAUCAGAGCCCUACCCAUGGAACUGUGUAACUUGAGCUCGCCAGAGACAGCCCUUUCCACUCUGGAGGUAAGAUUGGGAAUAUGUGAGUCCAGAGCCAUCAGCUGCUCCUGGGCCUACUGCCUGUCCCAAGCCCACCUGCAGGAGGAGAAAAGGAACCUGACACACACAAGAGAAGCAGAGGUGAGGGACACCGAGGGGGCCCGAGGUUCCAGUGACAAAAGUCCUUAGAAAAGUCGUGGGUACAGCCUUCCUGAGGCUCUGUUUUUAGGUUGUGGUUUUUUUUUCUGAUAUUGGUUUUGACUUUCUGAACUACCCUGAUCCCUCCAAUGUAUCUUUUUUUUUUUUUCUAAGAAGAUGUUGGGGGUAGGAGUUUAUUAAUUUAUUUAUUUUUGCUGUGUUGGGUCUUCAUUUCUGUGCGAGGGCUUUCUCUAGUUGUGGCAAGUGGGGGCCACUCUUCAUCGCGGUGCGCAGGCCUCUCACUAUCAUGGCCUCUCCUGCUGCGGAGCACAGGCUUCAGACGCGCAGGCUCAGUAGUUGUGGCUCACGGGCCUAGUUGCUCCGUGGCAUGUGGGAUCCUCCCAGACCAGGGCUCAAACCCGUGUCCCCUGCAUUAGCAGGCAGAUUCUCAACCACUGCGCCGCCAGGGAAGCCCACCUCCAAUGUAUCUUUUUAUGCUUAGAUGAAUCUAUUUGGUUUUCUAAUACCUGGAACUCAAAGAAUCCUAAUUACCAAAUGGCCCGUUAUUUAUCUUGAUAAUUGAUAUAAUUACUAUGUUCCAGGAAUUGUGUGAGGCCUUGCGGAAAUGCACAUAAGUAGAAUGGCUUCUCCUCCUACAGUACUCACCCUCCGGGGGAAGCCGCAGCUGGAUAGCACUUCCUUCUCUGAGUUCCUGGAUUUAUCUGGGUGUCAACGACCCUUUCUGAGGAUACUUUAGCACGCUCUCUCCACAGGAGCAGCAAUGGCCCUUUUUCCAUUUUAUAUUCCUAUUAUCUAGUGCAAUCAUAAAGACCCUCUGAAUAUUUUUUAUGGGAAUAAGUGAAAUGCAAUAAUAAUAACAACGAAGAUGUUUUAUAGUUUUCAAAGCCCUUUCAGAUAAAUUAUAUCAAAUACCUAGACUAUCCAUGGGAUCUUUAUAGUAGAAAGUUGAUGUUUAUCAGCAUCACAGCCAAAUAAAAACAUCCUGUAAGACCUUCAGCUUCCUUCCCUUUUCUUAUCUAAUCUUAAUCUGGCUUUCUAAGGAGGCCUUCUUACUGGGAAAAGAAUGAGCUAAUGACCAAGAGCAGGGGAGGAAGGGUGAUAAAAGCAUCUGGUUAACUUGGUUGCAUUUCCUGAAAAUAAAAUUAAUUGGUUUCUGUCGAAGAUGAAUCUCAGGGCCUCAGGUACCUAACAACCUGAUCCUCCAGUGGUGACCUAGGAAGCAAAGUUCAGGAUCUGCAAAGCUGAGGCCCCGACACCUCAUUCACUCUUUCAUUCAACAAGUUCUAUUGAGUGCCAAUUAUGUAUCAAACAUUACGGUAAUUGUUGUUACUCUCCCCACUCUCCGUAGUUUACAGCCUAGUACAGUGGUUCUCAAACUGACUUGUACCUUGGAAUCACCAGGAGAGCUGAUACCUGAAUCCCAUCCCCAGAGACUGAAAUUUCAUUAGUCUGGGGUGUGAUCUGGAUAUCUGGAGUUUUCAAAUGUCCCCAGGUGAUUCUAAGUGUGUCACCAAGGCUGAGAACCACUGGUGUAGGGAAAGAGAAAGAUGCAUAAGCAGGGAAUUACUAGCAAGAUUUAAGCACAUGAUGCAAUGGGGCCACGUGAGACCCUCUCUGCCCAGGCUUGGAAGACCCUGAGAGGCUUCCCGGAGGAGGCAACAGAGACCUAAGGGGCCAUGAGGACUGGCCAGGUGAUGAUGUUGGGAAGAUGGGAGAAGAGUAUUCUGAGCAAAAAGAACAGUAAAUGUCAUAAGAAAGUGCCCUGAAGAGAGAGAGCAAUCCUGGUGUGUUAGAUGAGAAUAGAAAAUGGCUUUACAGCAAAAGGAGGGAUAGGCAGUGAUAAAAAUUGAGCUUGAAAAGGUGAGCAAAGGUCAAAACACAAAAAUGGAAGUUUUGGGAAGUAACUCGGAAGGCAAUGGGGACACGUGACAAGGUGUGCCCCAGGAGAAUGAAAGCAUCAGCUGUGUUAGAGCCAGAACCCUCAUUCAUCGGAAUAACUGUGA
Orcinus orca (killer whale) is the source of this 5979-nucleotide long non-coding RNA. RefSeq lists it as uncharacterized. The record is from RefSeq and is a predicted model, not a curated record. Lineage: Eukaryota; Metazoa; Chordata; Mammalia; Artiodactyla; Delphinidae. The transcript is spliced from 5 exons.